GAAAGAGGCAGAUUGCCAAUGGGCAGAUGUUAAGGGCACAUGAAAUUCGCUCGCUAUAGCCGAUCGGUUCGCAGGGCGCUGAUGGUGCAUCACAAGAGAAUUUCGAAAUGGGCUUGGAGAGCGGGGACCAGAAAAUGGUGAUUCUUAACACACGCAGAUACACUCGGGCGUCUGCACACCGAGCAGUUCUACGGAAAGGCGCACACUUUUUGAGAGCAGCUCGUUGUGUGGAUUGCACCGUGUAUAAUCUCCUCCGAGGAGGCUUCGGAACUGAAGAUCCCCUUGGUCCACUGGACUUCUCAGUAUGGUCGAAAUCAGCCCUGCUCACUUGAGGAUAGACACCAAGGAGCUUCCGGAGCCCCGGUCUGCAGAGUCCCCCAGGCAGGUGCGGGUCCCCAGCCCGGUCAAGCAACAAGCGGACAGUCCGCGGGAGGGCCGGGUCCCUCUUGGCCCCCGUCCCCGCGCCUGUCACCUCUCCCCGCCCCCACUCCCCAAGCAGCCAGCGGGGCCAAACGAACGCCGGGGAAGGAGAAAACCGAGCGAGCGACUCACCCCCAGCUUCCUGCUGCGGAUUUUCACGUAGCCCUGCUUGACGAUGUCGUUAAAGUUGGAGGCCAUGGCCAGCGCGUUCGGGCUUGUCUGCCGCGCGAGCCGCUUCCCGGAGUCGAGAGCCGCCGUCCGCCG
This 684-nucleotide long non-coding RNA is filed under the name Marmota monax (woodchuck). Lineage: Eukaryota; Metazoa; Chordata; Mammalia; Rodentia; Sciuridae. The record is from RNAcentral.